UGCCUAGAAAGAGCCAUGAAGUUUGCCUUUGGGGAGUUCCGCCUGUGGUACCAGUUUGCUCUGUCCCUGAUGGCUGCUGGAAAAUCUGCUCGUGCUGUGAAAGUGCUGAAACAGUGUGUCUACCUGAAGCCAGACGAUGCCACCAUCCCUCUCCUCGCUGCCAAGCUAUGCAUGGGCUCCCUGCACUGGUAGGAAGAGGCUGAGAAGUUUCCCAAAAAUGUCGUUGAUGUGAGAGAGAAAACAUCAGAGUUCAAGGCCAAAGGCCACUUAGCUCUGGGGCUCAUG
Molecule: long non-coding RNA, 285 nt
Filed under: Homo sapiens (human)
Lineage: Eukaryota; Metazoa; Chordata; Mammalia; Primates; Hominidae
Description: non-protein coding lnc-MAP3K9-7:1
Source: RNAcentral